This 250-nucleotide ribosomal RNA is filed under the name uncultured bacterium. RNAcentral describes it as "partial 16S ribosomal RNA". It matches the Rfam family "Bacterial small subunit ribosomal RNA", at positions 103 to 339 of the family's 1533-position model. The record is from RNAcentral.
CGGGUGAGUAACACGUGGAUAAUCUACCCAAUGAUCUGGGAUAACAUUUUGAAAAGAAUGCUAAUACCAGAUAAGCCUACGUAUUCUUCGGAAUCAGUAGGAAAAGGUGGGGACCUUCGGGCCUACUGUCAUUGGAUGAGUCCGCGGCCCAUUAGCUAGUUGGUGGGGUAAUGGCCUACCAAGGCAACGAUGGGUAGCUGGUCUGAGAGGAUGAUCAGCCACACUGGGACUGAGACACGGCCCAGACUCC